This 283-nucleotide long non-coding RNA is filed under the name Elaeis guineensis (African oil palm). Its description in RNAcentral is "long non-coding RNA (EGUI_LNC078617)". Lineage: Eukaryota; Viridiplantae; Streptophyta; Magnoliopsida; Arecales; Arecaceae. The record is from RNAcentral.
CAAGGUGAUCCGACGUGUGCCACCACGUAGUUCGUCAUGUUGGACGAAUGGAGUCAUUUUGUGUCAUAUCGAACUCCGAUUUGGCUGCUAGUUUUUUCGAAAUAUGAGCUUCAACUAUUUUAUCAUUUCGGUGAGUACAGAAUCAUUAUUAGACUGUCAUAUUGAUAGAACGAUUCGAUAUUGGAUGUCAGUGUCAGACGUCGUUUCGAAAAAAUGAUUCGACACCGGACGAUAUGAUUCUGACAAAUAGAUCUUUACCACAUGUCCAAAUGUCACUGGGUCG